RNAcentral lists this ribosomal RNA (456 nucleotides) under uncultured bacterium. RNAcentral describes it as "bacterial SSU rRNA". It matches the Rfam family "Bacterial small subunit ribosomal RNA", at positions 340 to 786 of the family's 1533-position model. The record is from RNAcentral.
UACGGGAGGCAGCAGGGGGGAAUAUUGCACAAUGGGCGAAAGCCUGAUGCAGCUAUGCCGCGUGUAUGAAGAAGGCCUUAGGGUUGUAAAGUACUUUCAUCGGGGAGGAAAAACAAAACUAAUAAUUUUAUUUCUUGACGUUACCCGAAAAAGAAGCACCGGCUAACUCCGUGCCAGCAGCCGCGGUAAUACGGAGGGUGCUAGCGUUAAUCAGAAUUACUGGGCGUAAAGAGCACGUAGGUGGUUUUUUUAAAGUCAGAUGUGAAAUCCCUGGGCUUAACCUAGGAACUGCAUUUUGAAACUGAAAUACUAGAGUAUCGUAGAGGGAGGUAGAAUUCUAGGUGUAGCGGUGAAAUGCGUAGAUAUCUGGAGGAAUACCUGUGGCGAAAGCGGCCUCCUAAACGAAUACUGACACUGAGGUGCGAAAGCGUGGGGAGCAAACAGGGAUUAGAUACC